GGACUCGUAGCUCAGCUGGUUAGAGCGUCGCAUUUACACUGCGAAGGUCUGAGGUUCGAAUCCUCACGAGUCCA
RNAcentral lists this transfer RNA (74 nucleotides) under Candidatus Curtissbacteria bacterium RIFCSPHIGHO2_01_FULL_34_40. RNAcentral's name for it is "tRNA-Val". It matches the Rfam family "tRNA". From Rfam's summary of the family: Transfer RNA (tRNA) molecules are approximately 80 nucleotides in length. RNAcentral also lists the same sequence under 10 other names. Lineage: Bacteria; Candidatus Curtissiibacteriota. The record is from RNAcentral.